Molecule: ribosomal RNA, 334 nt
Filed under: uncultured bacterium
Lineage: Bacteria
Description: bacterial SSU rRNA
Rfam family: Bacterial small subunit ribosomal RNA
Source: RNAcentral
CUCGUAGGCGGCUCAGUAAGUCAGGUGUGAAAUCCUCAGGCUCAACCUGGGGUCGCCAUCUGAUACUGCUGUGGCUAGAGCCCGGUAGGGGCGCACGGAAUUCCUGGUGUAGCGGUGAAAUGCGCAGAUAUCAGGAGGAACACCGGUGGCGAAGGCGGUGCGCUGGGCCGGAGCUGACGCUGAGGAGCGAAAGCGUGGGGAGCGAACAGGAUUAGAUACCCUGGUAGUCCACGCCGUAAACGUUGGGCACUAGGUGUGGGGCCUUGUCAACGGGUUCCGUGCCGUAGCUAACGCAUUAAGUGCCCCGCCUGGGGAGUACGGCCGCAAGGCUAAA